Hymenopellis radicata is the source of this 78-nucleotide non-coding RNA. Lineage: Eukaryota; Fungi; Basidiomycota; Agaricomycetes; Agaricales; Physalacriaceae. The record is from the annotation of a GenBank genome assembly.
GCUUAUGGCUGAGUGGUUAAAGUGUCUAUUUAAUUGAUUACAUAUGCAUGGUCACAGGUUCAAUUCCUGCUGAUGGCA